GGGUUUGUAGCUUUGCUGGCAUG
RNAcentral lists this microRNA (23 nucleotides) under Homo sapiens (human). RNAcentral's name for it is "hsa-miR-5087". The record is from miRBase by way of RNAcentral. Lineage: Eukaryota; Metazoa; Chordata; Mammalia; Primates; Hominidae.